Molecule: ribosomal RNA, 254 nt
Filed under: uncultured bacterium
Lineage: Bacteria
Description: partial 16S ribosomal RNA
Rfam family: Bacterial small subunit ribosomal RNA
Source: RNAcentral
UACGGGGGGAGCAAGCGUUGUUCGGAUUUACUGGGCGUAAAGGGCGCGUAGGCGGCCACCGCAAGUCGACUGUGAAAUCCCCGGGCUCAACCCGGGAACUGCGUCCGAUACUGGCAGGCUUGAAUCCGGGAGAGGGAUGUGGAAUUCCAGGUGUAGCGGUGAAAUGCGUAGAUAUCUGGAGGAACACCGGUGGCGAAGGCGGCAUCCUGGACCGGUAUUGACGCUGAGGAGCGAAAGCCAGGGGAGCAAACGGG